RNAcentral lists this long non-coding RNA (527 nucleotides) under Gallus gallus (chicken). RNAcentral's name for it is "long non-coding RNA NONGGAT003810". The record is from RNAcentral. Lineage: Eukaryota; Metazoa; Chordata; Aves; Galliformes; Phasianidae.
UGAUCACGAACCCGUGUCACAAGGGAGGCUGAGCGUAGGGCUCUGCCGGGUAUCCUUAGGAUGCACUGCUUGUGUUCUGUUUACACUGAUCGGUUCUGUUUGUACCAAUCAUCUCACAGAAUGUGAACAAAAGCUUAUCCUCAGGGAGCCCUCUGGGAGAUGGCAGUUUGGACACUUCAGCAGUGACGCAGCAGCUGAGGGAAGGAGAAGCAACGGGUUAAGCAGCAUCAGCAGAAAGUGGCUGUAAUUGAAGAGGAUAUUUGAAGAAAGAAAAUGCAGUCUUUUCCACUUUCAUGACCCAAUUUUUUUACUCAUGGUAAAGGCUUCUUUCUCCUCAUUUUGGUAUUAGCUAUGUUUGGGAAGUAUUGAGCUUUAUCUUUGCUCGUGGAUAAUAACAUUUAAAAAUAUGUAUUAUUUACUUAAUUGUUGCUGCUAAAUGCUGUGAUUCUUCUUAUUCUUUCCUUCCAUUACUUUUUAGUAGCAUAAACUGCUCCAUCUCUUGUUUGAUUCUAUGGGGAACACUCCCA